CAGGGAUGUGUAUUAAUGACACAAGAAUACUACAGACGGACCAGGAUUGGGGAAACUUAUCGUAUGUGGAACUUUCCAACAACUGUCUGGAUACAGCUGCUCAGUUUCGGUUUCUUGAUAAUAAUGCCAUGUUCAAUUUGAAAAGAAAGGGUUGUUUCGAGGGAACACGUAGGGAAAGUGGUAUUGCUUAUAAUCUUCCUAUGUUGUAUUUGCUCCUUGCUACAAAGCCUUCAGAUAAUUGUCGUGAUCGGGACCAUGCUAUAACCCAGACCUCUUGGGGAGGUUUAUCUGUAUAUGAAGUACCUAAUAAAGGGACGCGGUGUGCAGUCCCUAAAACAGCUGAUGCACUCGCAAAUGCAGGAAUAGAUCCCUACAUCAGAUUGACGACAGAUUGUAACGAUGCAGAGGAUAAACGUUUUAAUUUUGGUAAGUUUCUCUGAUACAUUUCUUUUCCGU
Molecule: non-coding RNA, 456 nt
Organism: Paramuricea clavata
Lineage: Eukaryota; Metazoa; Cnidaria; Anthozoa; Malacalcyonacea; Plexauridae
Source: the annotation of a GenBank genome assembly